RNAcentral lists this ribosomal RNA (485 nucleotides) under uncultured bacterium. RNAcentral describes it as "partial 16S ribosomal RNA". It matches the Rfam family "Bacterial small subunit ribosomal RNA", at positions 29 to 507 of the family's 1533-position model. The record is from RNAcentral.
AUGAACGCUAGCGGCAGGCUUAACCCCUGCAAGUCGAGGGGCAGCGCGGGAUAGCAAUAUCCUGGCGGCGACCGGCGGAAGGGUGCGUAACGCGUGAGCGACAUGCCCGUUGCCCGGGGACAACCGGUGGAAACGCCGACUAAUCCCCGAUGCGAUACGAUGCUUCAUGGCAUUGUAUUGAAAGUUACGGCGGCGACGGAUUGGCUCGCGUCCGAUUAGCUGGUUGGCGGGGUAACGGCCCACCAGGGCUGCGAUCGGUAGGGGUUCUGAGAGGAAGGCCCCCCACAAUGGGACUGAGACACGGCCCAUACUCCUACGGGAGGCAGCAGUGAGGAAUAUGAGUCAAUGGGCGGAAGCCUGAACCAGCCAUGCCGCGUGCGGGAAGGAGGCCCUAUGGGCUGUGAACCGCUUUUGCCUGGGGGCAAUAAGGGCGUCGCGCACGUCCGAUGAGAGUACCAGGCGAAUAAGCAUCGGCUAACUCCGUG